ACUCAAAUGAAUUGACGGGGGCCCGCACAAGCGGCGGAGCAUGUGGCUUAAUUCGACGCAACGCGAAGAACCUUACCAAGGCUUGACAUACGCCGAAAACUCGCAGAGAUGCGGGGUCCGUAAGGGCGGCGUACAGGUGGUGCAUGGUUGUCGUCAGCUCGUGUCGUGAGAUGUUGGGUUAAGUCCCGCAACGAGCGCAACCCUCGUUCCAUGUUGCCAGCGGGUAAUGCCGGGGACUCAUGGGAGACUGCCGGGGUCAACUCGGAGGAAGGUGGGGAUGACGUCAAAUCAUCAUGCCCCUUAUGUCUUGGGCUGCACACAUGCUACAAUGGCCGGUACAAAGGGUUGCGAAGCCGUGAGGUGGAGCGAAUCCCAAAAAGCCGGUCUCAGUUCGGAUUGGGGUCUGCAACUCGACCCCAUGAAGUCGGAGUCGCUAGUAAUCGCAGAUCAGCAACGCUGCGGUGAAUACGUUCCCGGGCCUUGUACACACCGCCCGU
RNAcentral lists this ribosomal RNA (497 nucleotides) under uncultured bacterium. RNAcentral's name for it is "partial 16S ribosomal RNA". It matches the Rfam family "Bacterial small subunit ribosomal RNA", at positions 899 to 1397 of the family's 1533-position model. The record is from RNAcentral.